This 457-nucleotide ribosomal RNA is filed under the name Tunebia hatagumoana. RNAcentral's name for it is "partial 16S ribosomal RNA". The stretch from base 323 to 457 matches the Rfam family "Bacterial large subunit ribosomal RNA", at positions 2473 to 2609 of the family's 2925-position model. The record is from RNAcentral. Lineage: Eukaryota; Metazoa; Arthropoda; Malacostraca; Decapoda; Xanthidae.
CAAAGGUAGCAUAAUCAUUAGAGGCUUAAUUGGAAUCUAGAAUGAAGGGUCGGACAAAGAGAAAAGCUGUCUCUAUAAUAACUAUUGAAAUUUACUUUUAAGUGAAAAGGCUUAAAUAAAUCAAAGGGACGAUAAGACCCUAUAAAGCUUUAAUAUGUUGAUUAAAAUUAGUUGAUUUAUAUUAUAAAAAUUAAAUGUAAUCGUUUUAUUUUGUUGGGGUGAUGUGAGUAUAAUUAAAGAUAACUGCUUAAAAGUAAUACUGAAUAUAAUAGAAUUUAAAGUAUGAUCCUUCUUAAAGAUUAAAAGAUUAAGUUACUUUAGGGAUAACAGCGUUAUUUUUUUUGAGAGUUCAUAUCGAAAAAAAAGAUUGCGACCUCGAUGUUGAAUUAAAUUAUCUAUAUAAAGCAGUCUUUAUAAGAGAGGUCUGUUCGACCUUUAAAUUUUUACAUGAUUUGAG